RNAcentral lists this ribosomal RNA (423 nucleotides) under uncultured bacterium. Its description in RNAcentral is "bacterial SSU rRNA". It matches the Rfam family "Bacterial small subunit ribosomal RNA", at positions 207 to 622 of the family's 1533-position model. The record is from RNAcentral.
AAGACCUUGCGCUUUUGGAGCGGCCGAUGCCUGAUUAGCUUGUUGGUAAGGUAAAAGCUUACCAAGGCUUCGAUCAGUAGCUGGUCUGAGAGGACGACCAGCCACACUGGGACUGAGACACGGCCCAGACUCCUACGGGAGGCAGCAGUGGGGAAUUUUGGACAAUGGGGGCAACCCUGAUCCAGCCAUGCCGCGUGAGUGAAGAAGGCCUUCGGGUUGUAAAGCUCUUUCAGCCGGAACGAAACGGUUACGGUUAAUACCCGUYACUAAUGACGGUACCGGAAGAAGAAGCACCGGCUAACUACGUGCCAGCAGCCGCGGUAAUACGUAGGGUGCGAGCGRUAAUCGGAAUUACUGGGCGUAAAGCGUGCGCAGGUGGUUUUGUAAGUCAGAUGUGAAAGCCCCGGGCUCAACCUGGGAACU